Molecule: ribosomal RNA, 761 nt
Filed under: Prevotella melaninogenica
Lineage: Bacteria; Pseudomonadati; Bacteroidota; Bacteroidia; Bacteroidales; Prevotellaceae
Description: bacterial SSU rRNA
Rfam family: Bacterial small subunit ribosomal RNA
Source: RNAcentral
GAUGAACGCUAGCUACAGGCUUAACACAUGCAAGUCGAGGGGAAACGGCAUUUAGUGCUUGCACUGAAUGGACGUCGACCGGCGCACGGGUGAGUAACGCGUAUCCAACCUACCCAUUACUGUGGGAUAACCUGCCGAAAGGCAGACUAAUACCGCAUAGUCUUCGAUGACGGCAUCAGAUUUGAAGUAGAGAUUUAUCGGUAAUGGAUGGGGAUGCGUCUGAUUAGCUUGUUGGCGGGGUAACGGCCCACCAAGGCGACGAUCAGUAGGGGUUCUGAGAGGAAGGUCCCCCACAUUGGAACUGAGACACGGUCCAAACUCCUACGGGAGGCAGCAGUGAGGAAUAUUGGUCAAUGGGCGCGAGCCUGAACCAGCCAAGUAGCGUGCAGGAUGACGGCCCUAUGGGUUGUAAACUGCUUUUGUAUGGGGAUAAAGUCAAUCACGUGUGAUUGUUUGCAGGUACCAUACGAAUAAGGACCGGCUAAUUCCGUGCCAGCAGCCGCGGUAAUACGGAAGGUCCGGGCGUUAUCCGGAUUUAUUGGGUUUAAAGGGAGCGUAGGCCGGAGAUUAAGUGUGUUGUGAAAUGUAGACGCUCAACGUCUGACUUGCAGCGCAUACUGGUUUCCUUGAGUACGCACAACGUUGGCGGAAUUCGUCGUGUAGCGGUGAAAUGCUUAGAUAUGACGAAGAACUCCGAUUGCGAAGGCAGCUGACGGGAGCGCAACUGACGCUUAAGCUCGAAGGUGCGGGUAUCGAACAGG